RNAcentral lists this long non-coding RNA (5936 nucleotides) under Olea europaea (common olive). RNAcentral describes it as "long non-coding RNA (OEUR_LNC004732)". Lineage: Eukaryota; Viridiplantae; Streptophyta; Magnoliopsida; Lamiales; Oleaceae. The record is from RNAcentral.
UUUCUUAGAUUCAAGAAAUCCUUUUCAUUGACCAGAACAAUAGACCCACAAAUCUCAAAUUUGACCUAGUAAACCCUCACAAAUUCAAACAAAUAAUACGAUAAUCCUGUCAUUGAAAGAGCAUUGAGAGAUCAGAAAAAUCUGCAUUCUUUUCCAUCUUCGUUCUAGAGAAAUGAAAAAUGCAAAAAUAAAAAAGGUAAACAGCGAUUUAUACCAAUAUUAUAGUAGAAAUAAGAAGAAAACCCAGAAUCUGAGGGUAGAGAGAUCAUCGGCUAGAAGGGUAUAGAUAGGCUUCAAGAGUUUCUAGAAAGGUUUUAUUCCCAAAUUACACCGAAUUUUGAGCUUCCUGAUUAAUCGAAGAAAACAAAUAGACAUAAAAACGUUUGUUGGAUAGUCCGACGUUGCUCGGACAGCGCCGCUAUGUACAACGUGUCCACCAUAUUCCACAAGGCGACAUAAUAGAGCCUGCUGCUUUUUCCACCUGUCCAACACUUUUUCUUGCUUUAGAGACGUGGGAAUUUACGCGUUUUGACUCUUUCUUUUCUAGUUUAUUUGGGUAAAAUCUAAUUCAACCCCACUAAUGUCACCUGUCUUUAUCCAAUACUACCUUUUAGAUUUGCUCUAAAUUGCAGUUUUUCUCCAUUAACACAAUUGUAAGUAGUUCAGUGAAAUGAGUAGUUUGAGGAUAGUAGAAAGUUCCAUUAAAUGAGUCAUUUAGUACAAUUGUGACUAAGCUUAUUAAUAACCUUGUUUUGCAGAUAAUUUGUGAAAGAAAGAUUCAACUAGAUUUCAAUGUCAAGUUAACAUAAAACAAAGAGAAAAAGGUAUUUCUUCCAAAUUCCCAUCAGUCCAUAACAAAAGCAGAAUAAAAUUGGUUGCUACAUUGUCCAUGACUAGGUUUCCUUGAGAAGUUUGUGGCCAAUUCUAUAAGAAGCAUAUGCAUCAAUACAACAAUACUCAAUCUGCUGAAUGCUAAGAACCCUAGCUUCCCAAUUACUUCUACAAACGUGAAUAGGCUUCGCCAUAGAAAGUUCUACAACAAACUCAGCAAGCUUUUUCAGGCCAGGCUUCCUAUAGAAUAGGAUCGGCCAACGCUCCAUAGCCAACGCUUGAAUGUCAGCAAUUGUAGCGCAGGUCAAUCCAUACUCACUAUUAAGCUUCAAAACAUCAUCUCCCACCUCGACUCCCACAAAUGUAUUGUUGGGAUCACUCAGAAAGUUCUUUAUGGACUGAGGAAUAUAAUCCAAGUAUAAGAGUUGAAGGAUUAGGCAUUUUGUGUCAACACACAGCUGAAGUGUGGCAGUUUUGUUGCUCAUUGAUGGGAUCAAGUUAGGCCUCCAUUCACAGUCGAGUCCGACAAUUAUUUGUUGUCCAUAGUACAUUGAUCGGAUUUCUAGUACCCAAUCAUCGACAAUGGCAGCCUUGUCGGCUACUGUUGCUUCAAUUACUGCACCAGAGAAAGAAACCGUAUACUUGGAAGCCAUUUUUUUGGGGUAAAUUCAUUGUCAAUCUAUGCGCAUUUAUAUAGGAGUUGUUUCAGCAUUCAUGGUAGCCCAAGAGUUUGCUUUUGGAAGGAAUAUGAAGAGGCAUUUAGGUUAUACAUUUUCCUACACCGUUAAAUUUAUUUGUCUUCCUAGAAAGAACAAAUGUUGAGAAGAAGCAACAAUAAAUUUGCACUGUUUGACUUGUGAAUCCAGAAAUAUUGAUUUUGAAGACUCUGGGAACUAUUGUCCCUUCCAAACCGACUUCUGAUACGACCCGUCCCGAAUCAUCUUGGUAGACUCGAAAUGUGAUGUGCGCUGAUGAUAAAUGCUAAUUAGAUGUCAAAUCUAUCACCAAGUUUGAAUAUGAGUUACUUCAAAAAAUGCAACAAAAUCAAAUGUUUAUAUAAAACAUAAUGCGGUGGGCCAAAUUAUUUACUUCACGCUUCAUCAAAAUGAGUGAUAAAAUUCAACAUAUCGUGUGGCUCUCAAUUCGAAAUCAUUAGGCUCUUCCAACUGAAAAGAAUCAAUUGCUACCUGUAAGAAAAAUUACGGAAAAAUAUAUGAGUUGAUAGUUCAGUGAGUGGAAGAGUUCAUAAAUAAUUAUACUUUCUCCGUUAAACAUUUUUACUAAACAUCUAGUUCAUAUCGUUUAAUAUGCACACGAUAGACUUAUACAAUUAUAGCCAAAAAGUAAGACAUUCUUAUAACACUGUAAAUAUCAUCUCAUAAUCACAAUAUAGUCAUCAGCUGAUAUCUAUAUCAUCAUCUCAUCACAUCACAAGUGAUCCACAAAAAAUAUACCCUCUGACUAAAAUUUGUAAUUCGCCCCUCGGACUAAGCACUUUCGCCUCGAGCCUUUGGCCCCCUCCGUGAACGAAAGUCGGUCUCAAAGACUUCUGAUAAUCAAUUCUAGAACACGGUCAAGGCCUUUCUGUGAACUAUAUGUACACGAUCGAGAGCAAUAUCCGAUCAAGACCCCUGCGUAUAGGAUAAAAUACGGCCAAGACCCAUCUGUGAACUAAAAAAAAAAUAUAAUCAUGAGUACGUUUUUGGCGAUCUUAAUAUUAUAUAUCUCACAUACUAAACAAUCUCAAUAUCACAUGUCUUACAUACCAAGUCACAAAUGUGCCAUAAAUAAUGUUAGAUUUUUCUAGUUGUACACCGAGUUUGACACCCCGGUGUACAUGUAGAAGAACUCAAUAAUUUUUGAGAUUGCACGUGUAUUAUAAUAAAAGAGAUUUUCAUAAUAAUCAUAUAAUUGAACACAUAUUUAAAGGUUGAACCCCAACUUUGAGAGCCCUUGUCGUCCCGCCUCUAGAGCUUUGUGAGGGACGUAAAUCGCUGGAUGUGCCCCAACAGGCCAGGGAACAAGAGUUGCCUGUACANAUUUAAAUUAAAAUAAUAAAACCCAAACAGGCAAUUAGUAGACAAGCAACGAAUAGAUAUUGACUCGUGUAAAUCAAAUUAUGACAUUCUGGCACAAUCAAUUUUGAGUUAGCCCAAGCAGGUCAUGGGUUCUUACAGCCAUGUUGGCUCUAGGGGCAAGCCGGAUCAUGGCACUUUUCGUUCCAAGUCAAGCCAAUCACAUAUUAUGCUUCAAAGGGUUGGUGUUUACAGUUUUUUUUAAUUAUUUUUAAAUUUUGUGUAAAUGAUUUCAAUUUGGUUUCAAGCACUUUUGUAACUAUCAAGCCUAAAAUGAACAAUUUUCUAAACAUUUCGAUUCGAUUCAAAAUUGAAACGUUAACGUGCACAUAAUUGAGUGAGUUUGACCCUUUUCUUGUUUACCCAUAGAUAUAGGUAGUGAUGGAGAAUAAAAAUUUAAGUUUGAUGUUGGAUUUGUAACGAUUGAGAGUUACCAAACUGGAACACACUUUAAAGAGGGAAUUAACCUUCGUGGCAUGUGUUUUGACUAAUAUAAACUAUUUAUUAUUCACUCAAAAGAACUUUUUAUUUGUACUAUAUAUGUAUAAAUAAUUCUUGAACGUGGGUAACGUCUGAAUGAAUUUUGUAAAGGGAAGGACUGCAAAUAAAAUUAAUAAAUUAAUGAUUGUACAAAUGAACUCUAAAUACUUCAAUCCCAUGUUCCUUAAUCUUUAUAUAUACAUCUCACUGCUAUGAUGACAAAAUGUGAAGCUAACUCUAUUCCUGGGAUCUGAAUUCUAAACCAGAGAGCUGUCCUGCAGAACUGCAUCCAUGAAAUCAAAAUUAGCCAAACUAUUCGAAAGAAAAAUGGGGGAAUAACUUAUAUAAUUGUAGUAGCUGAAAAUAGAUCAUACACGGGAGAAUACGAAUUUGGCACUCUGUCAUCAUUUGACAAACCAUUCCUGUAAAAUUCGACAGAAAUCAAGCCUUUGUUCAUCAUUGCUGGCUCGGGAGCCCCAGGGAAUAUUACAGGCGAACUAUUUCUUGAACCAAGUCCUGCAAAAAUACUUAAGGUUUAAACCUUACUUUCUCAAGCCGACAGCAAUAGUAAACAGAAACAAAAGAUCAGAAACAAAGAAGAACACAGAAAGGCUUGAUUUCUUUUCUAGUUAUCCUAAACUUAUGUAAGGAAGUUUUUCAUUCCUUUUCUGUCCUCCUGUAUGUCAGAUGGAAAAGAAGUCAUAAUGAAAGAUCAAGCUGCAAAAUAAUAUAAUGGAAAUGCAGAAUGGUCACAUCUUACAACAUCACUGAGGCAAAACGAAAGACCCAAAAAUCGUGAAAUGUGCUAAUUAUGAAAGAAACUAAACAUUCUCGAACAAAAAGAGGGGACUCGACUUGCUUCGAGUUAUUUUUUUCUUGUUUCACCUUUUUAGUCGAACAAAGUUUCAUUUGACACAACCUCCUUACGUAUCCAGAGCACAUAUCAAGUCUACAAAGGGAAAAAAUUUACUAUCUUAGAAAUUUUCAACUGCUCAGAAAGGGGAUAGCCACUUCCAACAAAGUGGCUCUCAUCAUAAGAUGAUUGAUAAGUGUGAUCAAGUCAUUUUUAGAAAAAUACUGGUUUCGAAGUACUUGCCCACAUUUAUGCAUUAUUAUGGGCAAGUACUUCGAAACCAGUAUUUUUCUAAAAAUGACUUGAUCACACUUAUCAAUCAUCUUAUGAUGAGAGCCUUUGAUGUUUCAAGAACCCAUUUGGCAAGGCGGAUUUCACAUUAUUUGAAUGGUAUUUCAUAGAAGUAUGGAACUGAAAAUAUUAUAUAUAUGCUACUAUCUAGUCCUAUCCAAUGUUAUGAACCAAACAAGUUCCUAGAGCAGAAAAAACUGUAUAAAGGUUUAAAUAACAAUCUAGAAAUUUUGAGAGCAUUGAUGAUGACACCUUGGAAGAUUAUCACAAGACAAAAGAGAAUUGUGAUGAUCAUGGCCGGAAAGGUGCUGCAAGAUGAUGGUGAUGAUGACGAUGAUUUGGCUGCUUUCAUCUUCUUCAAUGCUUUCAUCCGUUCAAUUCUUUCACGCUUCUUUGUGGCAAGCACAGAAAUCUCUUUCACCAGCUUCAUAUCAACAGCAUCCAAGGUUGGACCUUUAGGAGGCCGUGGCGGCUUGGGAGCCUUUUUAUAUUUUCCAAUCUUUGAUCGCUCUUUUUCACGUUUCUUCUCCACAACUGGCAUAAGAUUUUGAUUUUGCAGUCCAACGGGAUUCUUUUCUUCUAUCAUCAACCUUACACUUUCACGCGACUCCUCACUCCUUUCUCCCAAAAUACCCUUUGAUUUAGGGCUAGGCUCAACCUCAGACGAUCCAUUAAAACCCAAUACACUACUAGUACCUAUCUUCUUCAACAAUUCUUUCGCCUGUUUCUUGCCCAAUACAGAAUCACUUCCGGUAUCAUCUUCACUACUUGUCCCACCGCUCUCAAUAUCACCAAUUAUUCCCUUUUCUUUCCAGUUAUUAUAACCCAUAUCCUAUACAAUAUAAAUCUCUUGCUAAAUUAUCCAAUCUCCCCGAUCUUCGAUUCCUUAAUUUCUACAAUAUAUUGAUAUUGCAGAUGAUCAAUAUCAGCUCAAAUCAAUUUAUAAAACAUUGCAAAGCUAAAAUCAAACUAAAGGAUUCAACUUUCGUUUCUUAGAUUCAAGAAAUCCUUUUCAUUGACCAGAACAAUAGACCCACAAAUCUCAAAUUUGACCUAGUAAACCCUCACAAAUUCAAACAAAUAAUACGAUAAUCCUGUCAUUGAAAGAGCAUUGAGAGAUCAGAAAAAUCUGCAUUCUUUUCCAUCUUCGUUCUAGAGAAAUGAAAAAUGCAAAAAUAAAAAAGGUAAACAGCGAUUUAUACCAAUAUUAUAGUAGAAAUAAGAAGAAAACCCAGAAUCUGAGGGUAGAGAGAUCAUCGGCUAGAAGGGUAUAGAUAGGCUUCAAGAGUUUCUAGAAAGGUUUUAUUCCCAAAUUACACCGAAUUUUGAGCUUCCUGAUUAAUCGAAGAAAACAAAUAGACAUAAAAACGUUUGUUGGAUAGUCCGACGUUGCUCGGACAGCGCCG